RNAcentral lists this ribosomal RNA (253 nucleotides) under uncultured bacterium. RNAcentral describes it as "partial 16S ribosomal RNA". It matches the Rfam family "Bacterial small subunit ribosomal RNA", at positions 524 to 776 of the family's 1533-position model. The record is from RNAcentral.
UACGUCGGGGGCAAGCGUUGUCCGGAAUCAUUGGGCGUAAAGAGCGUGUAGGCGGCCCGGUAAGUCCGCUGUGAAAGUCGGGGGCUCAACCCUCGAAUGCCGGUGGAUACUGUCGGGCUAGAGUGCGGAAGAGGCGAGUGGAAUUCCUGGUGUAGCGGUGAAAUGCGCAGAUAUCAGGAGGAACACCAAUUGCGAAGGCAGCUCGCUGGGACGUAACUGACGCUGAGACGCGAAAGCGUGGGGAGCAAACAGG